CGUCGUAGGAUAAGGUUUGAUUUUGUGUAGGAUGUAUGAAUAAACUGACUGUUGGGUUAUGACAGCGAGUUCGAAACAAUAUUCAGAUGCAAAACUAUUAAAGGUUGUAGAUACAAAAACACAAAGUAACGAACGAGGAAUUUUACAACUUUUUAAAACACUGCUUGAAAGUUGCCAGGACAAUUUAUCAUUGUACCAAAAGAAAUUCGUCAAAUGCCAGCUUUUCAUCACUGAGUGAGAUGGAGGCCUAUCAAGUCUGAAGAGCAAGUCUCUGGGAUGGGAAGGAAAGACUAUAGAGAACUUGAAGUUCAUUAUCUCGCAUAAAGUUCAGCUUUCUAAAACUCUUCUUGAAAGCGGAAGAGACAAUUAACAAUUAUACAUCAAAAGACAUGCGGAGUUAUUUGUCCGAUUAUGCAUCACUGAGAGAGGUGGAUGAUUGAGUCUAAAGAGCAAUUUUCUAAAUCAUUGCUUGAAAGAGUCAUUGCAUCAAACGGACAUUGUUAUUAGUCUGGUGCCUCACGGAGUGAGAUGGAAGCCUAUAUAGUGUAAAGACUGAUCCUCUGCUAAUAAGUGCUAAUACAAUACAAUGCAGCAAUAAUCGCGAAAGUCGUUCAGGUUCAUUCGUGGGCCGUUUUUCCGGAGUUCCUAACAUUUCAAAUUU
Styela clava is the source of this 661-nucleotide non-coding RNA. Lineage: Eukaryota; Metazoa; Chordata; Ascidiacea; Stolidobranchia; Styelidae. The record is from RefSeq and is a predicted model, not a curated record.